GGCGGUUGUUCAGCUGAACGCCGUGGGGGACGUGUAACUUGUCUCUUUUUCUCGGAGUUCUCCAAUGGCUCGCUGUUGGCUUCUGUUGCUCUGUCAGCUGUCGUUAGAAGUACUGAAAGCUGGUGUAUCAAUAAACUAAAUAAUGCACAUAUCUCUCUCGUAAAUCCAUUUUCUGCAUCACACCUGUUUCCUGCUGAUGACUAAUACCUAAAGAGACAUUGGAUGGUUUUGCGCUGAAAAUUUGGCCUGGUAUUCAGUGACUCAGUUUCUGGACAUUGGUCUUCAGAGACUUACUUAGUUCCAAACAGGCUGUGCAGAAGGUACACAAUAAUUCUUGAACAAACAACUAUUUAUAAUUUGACUGAGAGGUGAGUUUUUUUGCCAGUGGUCUGUGUUGGGAUGGUGCUGUAUUUAGUUCAGAACUUCUAACUUGUUUACUGUCUUAAUGCAGGUACGUGUCCUACACUGUAUGUCACCACCUCAACAAAUUUUUUGAUGAUGCCAUAAAACCGGCUUAAUUCUUUUAAGCCAAACUAAAAACACACUUUGCAAGUAAGCAACUAGUGAACACUCAGCAGAUAUAAUCUGACAGUGCACAGCACCUCAGAUGCACAAGCAUACUUGGCUUCCAUUUUUUUUAGAGUGUAAUUGUUAUGGAGGUCCCAAAAGACUGUUUUGUAACAGUUCUUUCUAUAGCUCUUGCCACUAAGCUUGUUUGGAAACAGUAUGGAAUCUGAUCUUGUUGGCAUGAGAAUUGUGCUGGCAAUUUGUUGAGAUGACUUUAUGCUACUAUUUUGGAACUCAACCAUUUAUAGCAAACAAUGCAAUCUCAUCCUAUGCGAACAAGUAUAAUGCCAUACCAUCAUCCCCUGUGCAACCUUAUGUAUAUGUAAGCAAAAGGUGAGUGUGUUCAUAAGAGUUUUUACAGAUUAAGCUUCCUAGGAGAAAAAGGAAAUAAAAAAUGCAUAUUCUGAGAGUUAAUAUCCAAUAUUAUGACCUUAAUCUUAAGACAAUUUAUAAAUCACAGUUGCUAUCAUAUGGCUUCAUGUGGUUUAAGAAAUGCUACUGUCAAGGUUUAACAAAACCAGGACACUCACAAAACAAACUAUCAAAAUAUUUUAGUGCAAUGAUCGCUGUGAAUUUCAGUUUUAACACUUAAGUUCCACACUGUCAGCAGUUUAUUUUUGAAUUUUUUGAAUUGAAUGUCAGUGUUUAUUUUUGAAUUUUAAGCUUGCACAAGGAUUGUAGAGUGACCUGCAGAUAGCUUAUGAUGUAAAACUGUUAGGGAUGUCUAACUGCAAAGGAAACAUGAGUUCUUGUUCUUCUUCAAUCAGAGUUCUUGGCAUGACUGUCUAGAUGUAUCAUGGCAGGUAGGCCUGUUAAGAGGGGGGAGGGGAGAAAGGAGUGACUUGCCCUCAUCACCUUUUCCUGUCUAGUUGGUCUCUUCACUUACUUUACACUUGCAAGUUUCAUGUCGAAAUCUUCAGUUUGCAUUUUCUUCUUCCUGCCACCCCCUUUCCUUAUUUUUAACUCCUUCACCUCAGCAUGAAUGUGUUUUAGUCCCAACAUCCUUGACCUCUCCUAUACUUUGUCACUUGAAUGACUGACUGACUUUCACAUCUGAACUCAUUACUCAUGGUAAGAGGAGUUCUGUCACAUACCUCUUCCCAUAUGACUUCUAGUCUGUGUAUGGCCAUUAAACCACCAAUAUAAUGACUAUUUGUCAAAUGUGAAGUACUGGUACCCUAUCUUUUUCAUGCUGUCAGCUGUCUUCUGUAAUCCAGAGCAUGAAGCUGAACCAUCUUCAUGAGAUUUUACUCCCUUUAGUGAUUUAAGGAUUUUCUUCUGUCCUGGAAGUUUCUUCAGGCUCUUAAUCUGUCACUUUCCCCUCUACAUCUUUCUUUGUGACGUUGUACAGAUCUGAUCAAUUUAAGAACUUUAUCAGGUAAAGAUCAUGCUGUUUCUUUCUCUUGUUUGUCCAUAUCAUUCCUAAAACAGAGACAAAACUUUAUCUAGCUUCUUAUUUCACACCUCUUUAGUGUAGUAUUAUUUGGCUUUGCUGCAAGGCCUAAAAGGCCUUGAGCAUAUAGAAAAGCAGUUUAUAGCUUCUGGAACAGUAAACAGAUGCAAAAAUGGAAAACAUUAAAGGUGUAGAAGACCAAGUAUCAUCCAUCAAGCUAUCUUCUAGAUGCACUAUGAUGACAGCUUCUGCAGUCCACUCACUGAACUCUGGAUGGACACAACCGUGCUUUUUUUGCUUGCUUACUUCAGACUUAUGACAAACCUUUUGUCAGGUUCGCAAAACAAAGUUAUUCAGGCUCUUCUUUCCUAGUCACAUAUGAAAAAAACUUGACAUUGUUUACCGUGCUGACAUCUUGAUCUUUGAUGCUGAGCAGUACUGUCGCAUUAUCUUGUAUUGUUUUUGUUAAUGAAGAUGUUUUAGACAGAUGUGGCUACUUUUUGUUUCAUUUUCUUUUUGUUUGUAGUUUGUUUUUUAAACUUGGCUUUAUAAAAAUUGUGCAAUUAUGCAGCUCAACUUCUUUCCUUUCCCACAGCUAUUGUUUGUCACAAUGACUGUGAGUGUGCUGACAAAUUUGAACUACAUCUGACAAACAAAGCAAUUUUAUAGGUGGAACCUUCUCUUGGAGGAUUAAUAAUAACCCUUUAUAGCUACAGCCCUGUUUCUGGUGUAUCAUGCUCCUGAGCUCACCGUUCAAUAUGUAUGACUUCAACAGCUACACACUGCAAAAAAUAAAAUCAGCACAAAAUGAUCCUGCUUCAAAAGCCUCAUUCCCCCUUCACAAGUUCUGGGUUUACUCAAAGGGAGAUUUUCUUUAACCCUUGAAUAAAAAGAGUGUGUUGGUGUUUUUUUUCUUUGCUUUGUUGGGGUAUUUUGUUUGUUUUCUUUUCAUUCUGAAGUUUCCCAAAUCGACUUUUUAUUGGCUGUUUGAGAGCUUAAAAAAUUAAACAGACUAUAGUCUACAUUGCAUGCAAUAAAAAAAUAACAUGGUUUACAUAAAAAUAUUUCAGGCAGAAAAGAUAAAGUGGGUCUUGGAAGUGAGGCAUAAAUGGCAGUGCUGGGAGAUGUAGAUGAGAUUUCUUCCAGUGAAUGCUGUUGAGGAUCAAAUAUUGUUAAUGAGUCUGAAGGCCAAACAGGUUAUUCUGAAUGCAGCAGAUUUAAGGGUGAAGGAAUAAAGAAAUGGAAAUAAUUCUAUUGCCAAGAAGCUGAGCACAUCAGUUUUACAAUACAGCUAUUUGAGAGAGAGGUAUAUUGCUGUGCUCCUUCAUUGAUGUUUUUGCCCCUUUGGUCUCUGAGUUUACUAUAACUCUUUGAAAUGCUGAUUAACAUGGAGCUCUGACAAAAUGAAGCAGAACUAGAAGUAGUUUUUACUGAUUGGAAUUAUGCCAUAUAUUAUCUUUACAAUUCCAGCGCUUCUCUUUUUUUAUAUCUUUUUGUUUGUUUCUUUCUUUCUUUCAAUUUAUCCUUAGCCAGUGAAUGAAGGUGCUGGUUGGAGGACAGAGCUGCUUUAAGUCUGUUCUACCAGCUCUUAAGAGUGUGAACAACUUUGUAUUUACUUAGAUUUAUAAGAUCCGCAGUUGUGGGGGGUCUGCCUUUAUUGGUUUCUUUAAAAGACCUUUUUAAGAGUCAACAACUGUGACUUGAAACUUCUCUUUAACACAUGCUGUAGGUACAGGCUGCUACAUUCGCUGUUUUGUAUGAUAACAUCAAUUGAUUUAAUUGCAGCCAGGAUCUGGUUCAGUGUGUCUAGUCAGCAGUGCAAAGCUGUGUAUCAGAUUCUGGUUUUAUAUUUGAUUAUUUGGAAUUUUUGCUUAAAAACUUGCUUGAAGAUAAAAUCUUAAAUAUAAAAUUGCUAGUGGUUAAGCCUCAAGCCUGUGUAGGAGGGUUUGAUUAACUUUCGUUUCUUAGUGAGCAGUUAUUCAGUGAAUCCCUGAAGUGAGGCUCUUCUUGGAAGAAGAAGGAAGGCAUACAGAAAUACAAAUGAACUUAUUUCACCUAAUCCUCUGGAAGUUCACUGAAAAAGUUGGUAAUUUUGGACAUUACUAACAUUGGACAUUACUUCAUGCCCACCGAUUUGCAUGGUGUAGUAGAAGAGUUUGUAAUUUUUACAUAUACUGCAGAUUGGGUAGUGGUAUCAUACUCAGGUUAAAAGGGAUUUGUAGAUAGAUCACCAGCAAAAAUAAGCUAAUCUAGCAAGAAAAAAAUACAACCUAAUUAUAGUACUAGAACUUUGCCAAGUUUUCCAUCUUUUCAUACUGUCUUUGGAAGGACAAGGUGAGCAAGGUUGUUUAAAUUAAUGCAUAUUUAAACAUAACUUUUGACUGGCGAAUCUCACCCAAUGCCUGGCAAAAGAAUUUGAAUUGUGGAACAUCUCCAUGUUGUACUUAGUGCUUAUGGCUGUUCCCAUUCAGCUAUAGCAGCCACCGAGGGGUUUAAGUGCCCAGGAAGUACAGAUGAUUAUGUGCUUACAUUAUUAGCUGCUGCUUCACUGAGAGUCUGCAAAACAUUGCUGAUACCUUACCUAGCAGCAUCAGUGUGAAAUACUCGAGUACUCAAGUCUCAUGUAUGAAUUGUCACAGCAUUGUUGAAGAUACUUCAGUUCAGGCUUCCCGUUAGACUGCCCGUGUACAGAUGAGACUUUUCCCAGCCCUUAUUUCAAAGAAUAUACAUUAUCAUUUAAUUAUGUUUCUUUCUUGAUUACUUUCUUUCAAGGGCAGAGAAGAUUUUGGGUUUGAAGUUGCUUUUUAAAGUCUGAUUGCUUACAAUUUGUAAUGAAAAGACAUGAAGACUAAACCCCUUCUGCAUAGAGCUCUACAGUUUAAGUGACAUAAGCUUUUAGCAAAAAGAUUACAAACUUUUUGAUGAAAUUAGCAGAACAGCAUGAUUUUCAUAGAAUAGCCUGCACUAAGAUCAUCUGGUUCAACCUUUCAUGGGAAAUGGAGACUGGAUGAAAUCAUUGAGCAUCAUUUCCAAUUGUGUCUUGAAAACCUCCAUCGAUGCAGACUCCACUAUGUCCCUAGGGAGAUUGUUCUAGUAAUCCAUUGUCCUCACUGUGAAAAACGUAUUUAUUUUAUCAACAUGAAACCUCUCCUGGUGCAACUUGUUUGUUAUUGUUUUUUGGGGUUUUUUUUGUUGUUUUUUUUUUUUUUUUUGCAUUUGUUUUGUUUCAUUUUUGGGGGUUUUUUUCUGUUGUUUUGGUUUUGUUUGUUUGGUUGGUUUGUUGUUUGUUUGUUUGUUGUUGUUGUUCUGUGAAUGCAAACCUUCUGUACUGGAGAUAUAUAGGAAAGUGAUGACUUUAUAAGCUGUGAUGACUCAGGAAAAGCUUGACCAAAUAUUGCUCUAAAAUAACUGCAACAAAAGUGGAUUUUUGCAGGCUUGUCAGAACGCUAUUACAUUAUUUACAAUGCCAAAAAAACUGUUAAUUGCAGCUGUUAAAAGCAGGUAAAGAAGGAGGCAAGAGAAACUUGAAUUUUUGCUGAAGUGUGAGGGUGUCCGUCAACACAGCAAAUCUGAAGAGCAGGUUUUGGCUGAUCAGUUUACUGAAUGCUUAAGGCAGGGGAAAAACCCCAAAGAAACAAAACAAACAAAAAAAACACACAAGAAAAACAAACAAACAAAAAACCACCAAACAAACAAAAAAACACAUAA
Molecule: long non-coding RNA, 5668 nt
Organism: Columba livia (rock pigeon)
Lineage: Eukaryota; Metazoa; Chordata; Aves; Columbiformes; Columbidae
Exons: 2
Source: RefSeq, a predicted model, not a curated record